AGAUUAAGUUAUUAAGGGCGCACGGUGGAUGCCUUGGCACUAGAAGCCGAUGAAGGACGUUACUAACGACGAUAUGCUUUGGGUAGCUGUAAGUAAGCGUUGAUCCAGAGAUUUCCGAAUGGGGGAACCCAGCAUGAGUUAUGUCAUGUUAUCGACAUGUGAAUUUAUAGCAUGUCAGAAGGCAGACCCGGAGAACUGAAACAUCUUAGUACCCGGAGGAAGAGAAAGAAAAAUCGAUUCCCUGAGUAGCGGCGAGCGAAACGGGAAGAGCCCAAACCAACAAGCUUGCUUGUUGGGGUUGUAGGACACUCUAUACGGAGUUACAAAAGAACAUGUUAGACGAAUCAUCUGGAAAGAUGAAUCAAAGAAGGUAAUAAUCCUGUAGUCGAAAACAUAUUCUCUCUUGAGUGGAUCCUGAGUACGACGGAGCACGUGAAAUUCCGUCGGAAUCUGGGAGGACCAUCUCCUAAGGCUAAAUACUCUCUAGUGACCGAUAGUGAACCAGUACCGUGAGGGAAAGGUGAAAAGUACCCCGGAAGGGGAGUGAAAGAGAACUUGAAACCGUGUGCUUACAAGUAGUCAGAGCCCGUUAAUGGGUGAUGGCGUGCCUUUUGUAGAAUGAACCGGCGAGUUACGAUCUGAUGCAAGGUUAAGCAGCAAAUGUGGAGCCGCAGCGAAAGCGAGUCUGAAUAGGGCGUUGAGUAUUUGGUCGUAGACCCGAAACCAGGUGAUCUACCCUUGGUCAGGUUGAAGUUCAGGUAACACUGAAUGGAGGACCGAACCGACUUACGUUGAAAAGUGAGCGGAUGAACUGAGGGUAGCGGAGAAAUUCCAAUCGAACUUGGAGAUAGCUGGUUCUCUCCGAAAUAGCUUU
This 874-nucleotide ribosomal RNA is filed under the name Listeria monocytogenes. RNAcentral describes it as "bacterial LSU rRNA". It matches the Rfam family "Bacterial large subunit ribosomal RNA", at positions 1 to 871 of the family's 2925-position model. Lineage: Bacteria; Bacillati; Bacillota; Bacilli; Caryophanales; Listeriaceae. The record is from RNAcentral.